Molecule: long non-coding RNA, 192 nt
Organism: Mastomys coucha (southern multimammate mouse)
Lineage: Eukaryota; Metazoa; Chordata; Mammalia; Rodentia; Muridae
Exons: 2
Source: RefSeq, a predicted model, not a curated record
GUUCUGAAACCAACAUUAAGAAAUCUCCAAGGAGCCUACAAACAAUAUCAAUGCUUGCUCUCCUGAAGAUACCUGGCAAAUAUGCAAAGAAGGCAAAGGCAAUGAGAGAAGAUGAGAUACUAAGCCAAUGCCAACCACUACCCACCUCCACACUGUCCUUGUGUAAGACAAACGCUAGCAAACUUGAGCCAA